Molecule: ribosomal RNA, 550 nt
Filed under: uncultured bacterium
Lineage: Bacteria
Description: bacterial SSU rRNA
Rfam family: Bacterial small subunit ribosomal RNA
Source: RNAcentral
UAGGGAAUCUUCCACAAUGGACGCAAGUCUGAUGGAGCAACGCCGCGUGAGUGAAGAAGGUCUUCGGAUCGUAAAACUCUGUUGUUAGAGAAGAACACGAGUGAGAGUAACUGUUCAUUCGAUGACGGUAUCUAACCAGCAAGUCACGGCUAACUACGUGCCAGCAGCCGCGGUAAUACGUAGGUGGCAAGCGUUGUCCGGAUUUAUUGGGCGUAAAGGGAACGCAGGCGGUCUUUUAAGUCUGAUGUGAAAGCCUUCGGCUUAACCGGAGUAGUGCAUUGGAAACUGGAAGACUUGAGUGCAGAAGAGGAGAGUGGAACUCCAUGUGUAGCGGUGAAAUGCGUAGAUAUAUGGAAGAACACCAGUGGCGAAAGCGGCUCUCUGGUCUGUAACUGACGCUGAGGUUCGAAAGCGUGGGUAGCAAACAGGAUUAGAUACCCUGGUAGUCCACGCCGUAAACGAUGAAUGCUAGGUGUUGGAGGGUUUCCACCCUUCAGUGCCGCGGCUAACGUAAUAAGCAUUCCGCCUGGGGAGUACGACCGCAAGGUUA